UUUGUUAACAACAGUUGAAGGUUAUUCUGUUACUUGUACUGUUGUAUACUUCAUUUAUUAAAAGGUACCUACAAGCAGUUAGGAAAAAUUACCCUGUUUAACUUAAAAAGAAAUCAUCUUUUUUUUUGCUUUUUUUUUUUUCCGAAAACAAAAACUAUCACUUGGAGAUAUAAAAAAAAAAAAGAAGAAAAGAAGAAAAUUCUGUAACGACAACAAACAUAGGGAAGCAAUGUACUGUACCUGCAGCUUUCAUCCCAUUGUACAUAUCUGAUCAUUUUGAUGGCAUAAAACUGUCUGCAAUUAACAAGUACUUUCAAACACAAUUUUUCAGUUUCAAUAGGUGAAUUUUGUUCUUGUGUAAAUAAUUUUAGGACAAAAGGAUCAGAUCUAAACUUGCACAUACAUAUAGUUACUUACUAAAAGUUUACUGUUAAUCAAUAAUUCCUUUAUCCUUAGGACACAUAAUGAAUUUAGUGAGAACAAAUCUUAUUUUGUUCAAAUAUUAUUUACAAAAUGUUAUAUUUUAAGGAAAUGAUAUUUUAUUUGUUGAUAAUUCCAUUUCU
Molecule: long non-coding RNA, 563 nt
Filed under: Mytilus galloprovincialis (Mediterranean mussel)
Lineage: Eukaryota; Metazoa; Mollusca; Bivalvia; Mytilida; Mytilidae
Source: RNAcentral